CAAGGCUCUAGCAACAAGUAUAAUUAAACAAUCAAUCAAUGUGAAUUGCAAUUAUACAAGACUUGCACGAGGGCAAGCAACAAUAUGAAUUAAAGCUCUAAACUACUACAAGCAACCACAUACAUAAUAUUUGAUUAUAUUUUAAUCAAAUACAAGUAAACUAAAACUAUUACAUUCAUUUUACUUUCAUUCAUAAUUUCUUUACAUCAUAAUCAUCCAACCCAAAAUACAUGAUUGUUUACAACUUUUACAUUUUUCUUGAUCAACAAAAUAAA
This 275-nucleotide long non-coding RNA is filed under the name Ananas comosus (pineapple). Its description in RNAcentral is "long non-coding RNA (ACOM_LNC026102)". Lineage: Eukaryota; Viridiplantae; Streptophyta; Magnoliopsida; Poales; Bromeliaceae. The record is from RNAcentral.